UCCCCGUUAUCCGAGGCGGUUUCGCUAGAGUGCCCGACAUUACUCGCUGGCAACUAACGAUAAGGGUUGCGCUCGUUGCGGGACUUAACCCAACACCUCACGGCACGAGCUGACGACAGCCGUGCAGCACCUGCACAGGCUCCCUUGCGGGUCCCUCAGCUUUCGCUUCGGUACCACCUGCACGUCAAGUCCGGGUAAAGUUCUUCGCGUUGCAUCGAAUUAAACCACACGCUCCGCUGCUUGUGCGGGCCCCCGUCAAUUCCUUUGAGUUUUAGCCUUGCGGCCGUACUCCCCAGGCGGGGCACUUAAUGCGUUAGCUGCGGCGCCGAGGGGGUCGAUACCCCCGACACCUAGUCGACAUCGUUUACGGCGUGGACUAC
RNAcentral lists this unclassified non-coding RNA (380 nucleotides) under uncultured bacterium. RNAcentral's name for it is "contains 16S-23S intergenic spacer region". The record is from RNAcentral.